Molecule: small nuclear RNA, 102 nt
Organism: Mesoplodon densirostris (Blainville's beaked whale)
Lineage: Eukaryota; Metazoa; Chordata; Mammalia; Artiodactyla; Ziphiidae
Source: RefSeq, a predicted model, not a curated record
UUUUUAUAAAACAAAUAUUUAUUUAUUGGAAUAAUACAGAGAAGAUUAGCAUGACCCCUGCACAAGGAUGGCGCUCAAAUUCUUGAAGCAUCCCCUAUUUUU